CUGUAGUCACUGUUAGGGUGAGAGAAGUCAAGGUAGGAAGUAGCCCAGGGAUACAGUAGUAAGGGCUAGGACUUUGCAGACUUUGUUUGUUGUAGUGUCCAUGGACUGGAACCCAGUGUAGAGGGUGGGCCUGGGUUCCCUUGCUAGCCACUGGGGAAGUGGCACUGUUAAGGGGCAGUGAGAAAGAAGGCUGCCUUGGACAAUAGAUCCUGAGGAAUUUGAUGCAUGCAAUACCCCGAUGGGAAAACUACAGUCACCUGGCCAGAGGAAUGAACACAGAGCACCCUGAGUUUCAGGGAGAGAGCAGUGGCAGGGUGUGCAGUGAGUGAGUGGGUGUUGGAUGUGGAAAGAGCGGCCAGAAGGAGGUGCCCCUACUGGAGCCCCAGUCAUGAACCAGGACCCCGUUGUGCCAUUCAGUGUAUGAACACAGAACAGAAAGAUGAUCCCUGUGACCUAGGGCUCAUACACUCUAAGGAUAAGACAAGAGAUGGAUGUGGACAGACUACAAAGAAACAAUGAGACAAAGAGAACUCCACUAAUUUACAUUAUUAAGCAGCUGAGUCUGGAAGUCUCAUGAGAGAGGCUGUUUUUGCAGUAUUUCCAGCCUGACCAGAAGUAUGACUUACCAGAGAUCUGGACAGAAAAUCCGUUCUCCUCCAGCACAAAGGCCAAUCCUUAAUCAUACAAAGUCUCUUUGAUGUCAGUGGGUGUUUUGCCUGAAUAACAGCUGGAGGAUCAGGCUCCAAUCUACCCAACAGAAUUGGAUAGGAGCUGGUCCUGCCCUUUUUGGUACUAAAUGCCCUGCUUUGUAGUAUCAGUUUGCAGAAUUGGUCCCAUAGUUCUGCUAAGCAUCCAGAAUUUUGCGUUUUUACUUGCACUAAAUUGAAUUCUCAGUCUUUUCAUCUUGUACCUGAACCUUCAAUGUGCUGAGCUCCCUUGACUCCCACUGAAAUGAAUAUGAAUGGAGGUUGCUCAGUGUCUCACACUGAGUUAUUCAACUGCUCACAGGAUUGGGCCCUUGGAAUGGAAGCUUUGUAAAGGAAUAAGAUUGUUGAGGGACUGUUGUCACAGUUCGUGGCAACUACAGCUGUAUUCUCCCUCCAUGGUUCAGAAAGAACUCCCAGCUCCUCAUGUCUCUUGAGCUGACACCUGCAUCUGUCUUUCUUCUGACUGGGGUUUUCCCAAACAGCAUGGUUCCCUGCCUACAUUAGGAGCAAGCCAGA
Mauremys reevesii (Reeves's turtle) is the source of this 1223-nucleotide long non-coding RNA. RefSeq lists it as uncharacterized. The record is from RefSeq and is a predicted model, not a curated record. Lineage: Eukaryota; Metazoa; Chordata; Testudines; Geoemydidae. The transcript has 3 exons.